This 780-nucleotide ribosomal RNA is filed under the name uncultured Neocallimastigales. RNAcentral describes it as "partial large subunit ribosomal RNA". It matches the Rfam family "Eukaryotic large subunit ribosomal RNA", at positions 24 to 611 of the family's 3401-position model. Lineage: Eukaryota; Fungi; Neocallimastigomycota; Neocallimastigomycetes; Neocallimastigales. The record is from RNAcentral.
UAUCUCUGUAGAGUCUGCAUAUCAAUAAGCGGAGGAAAAGAAACUAACAAGGAUUCCCCUAGUAACGGCGAGUGAAGCGGGAAGAGCUCAAAUUUGAAAUCUUCAAGGGUUUCUACCUUGACGAAUUGUAGUUUAAAGAAGUGUUUUCUGUUGGAGUUUCGGUAAAAGUUCUUUGGAAUAGGACAUCAUAGAGGGUGAGAAUCCCGUAUUUGACCGUUACUUUCCAGCUGUGUGAUACACUUUCAAAGAGUCGGAUUGUUUGGGAAUGCAGUCCAAAAUGGGUGGUAAAUUUCAUCUAAAGCUAAAUAUUGGCGAGAGACCGAUAGCGAACAAGUACCGUGAGGGAAAGAUGAAAAGAACUUUGAAAAGAGAGUUAAACAGUACGUGAAAUUGUCAAAAGGGAAGCGUUUGACACCAGUGUUGUUUUCUCGAAAAUCAAUUAAAAAUAACUUUGAUUUUGUGUUGUAUUGACCUUAAAAGCUUUCUUCACUUUUUUCUUGUUAUUUUUAAUGCACUUUUCGUUUAACAAGUCAACAUCAGUUUCUUUUGUUGUAAAAAGGUCAUUGGAAGGUGGCUUUCUUUUCGGAGAAAGUGUUUAUAGCCUUUGACUCCUGCAAUCGGAGAGACUGAGGUCUGCAGCGUAGAUCCUUUUUUGGAUUAGAUUCAUUUGUGCUAAGUUAUAGCUCUUUAUAGACAACAUGUUGACUAUAUUUAGUCUUGUAGCUUACUCGCUUAUGUAAUUUUACCUACGCUUAGGAUGUUGAACGCGCACAGAGUCUC